UGGAGUUGCAGAGAAUCAGUGACAUGCCAUGAAGAGAGUUGAAUGAAAUAGAGGAUGAGAAAGAUAAUUCCAUCCUUUCAUCAGAAAAGAAUAAAAAAGAUAAUUCCAUCUAUAUUUUGGAAUUCAAUAGAACAAAAAAAAAAAAAAACCCAACUCUUGGGUGCUUUAAAGCAUCUACCAAACCAAAGCUCAAUCCAAAUG
Molecule: long non-coding RNA, 201 nt
Filed under: Elaeis guineensis (African oil palm)
Lineage: Eukaryota; Viridiplantae; Streptophyta; Magnoliopsida; Arecales; Arecaceae
Description: long non-coding RNA (EGUI_LNC013145)
Source: RNAcentral